UACAGGCUUAACACAUGCAAGUCGAGGGGCAGCAUGGUCUUAGCUUGCUAAGGCCGAUGGCGACCGGCGCACGGGUGAGUAACGCGUAUCCAACCUGCCUUACACUCUUGGACAGCCUUCUGAAAGGGAGAUUAAUACAAGAUGUUAUCAUGAGUAAGCAUUUUCACAUGAUUAAAGGUUUACCGGUGUAAGAUGGGGAUGCGUUCCAUUAGAUAGUAGGCGGGGUAACGGCCCACCUAGUCUUCGAUGGAUAGGGGUUCUGAGAGGAAGGUCCCCCACAUUGGAACUGAGACACGGUCCAAACUCCUACGGGAGGCAGCAGUGAGGAAUAUUGGUCAAUGGACGAGAGUCUGAACCAGCCAAGUAGCGUGAAGGAUGAAGGUUCUAUGGAUUGUAAACUUCUUUUAUACGGGAAUAAACGAAUCCACGUGUGGAUUUUUGCAUGUACCGUAUGAAUAAGGAUCGGCUAACUCCGUGCCAGCAGCCGCGGUAAUACGGAGGAUCCGAGCGUUAUCCGGAUUUAUUGGGUUUAAAGGGAGCGUAGAUGGGUUGUUAAGUCAGUUGUGAAAGUUUGCGGCUCAACCGUAAAAUUGCAAUUGAUACUGGCAGUCUUGAGUACAGUUGAGGUAGGCGGAAUUCGUGGUGUAGCGGUGAAAUGCUUAGAUAUCACGAAGAACUCCGAUUGCGAAGGCAGCUUACUAACCUGUAACUGACAUUGAUGCUCGAAAGUGUGGGUAUCAAACAGGAUUAGAUACCCUGGUAGUCCACACGGUAAACGAUGAAUACUCGCUGUAGGCGAUAUACAGUCUGCGGCCAAGCGAAAGCAUUAAGUAUUCCACCUGGGGAGUACGCCGGCAACGGUGAAACUCAAAGGAAUUGACGGGGGCCCGCACAAGCGGAGGAACAUGUGGUUUAAUUCGAUGAUACGCGAGGAACCUUACCCGGGCUUAAAUUGCAACCGAAUAUGGCGGAAACGCUAUAGCUAGCAAUAGCGGUUGUGAAGGUGCUGCAUGGUUGUCGUCAGCUCGUGCCGUGAGGUGUCGGCUUAAGUGCCAUAACGAGCGCAACCCUUGCCGAUAGUUACUAACAGGUCAUGCUGAGGACUCUGUCGGGACUGCCAUCGUAAGAUGUGAGGAAGGUGGGGAUGACGUCAAAUCAGCACGGCCCUUACGUCCGGGGCUACACACGUGUUACAAUGGGGGGUACAGAGGGCUGCUACCACGCAAGUGGAUGCCAAUCCCAAAAACCUCUCUCAGUUCGGAUUGAAGUCUGCAACCCGACUUCAUGAAGCUGGAUUCGCUAGUAAUCGCGCAUCAGCCACGGCGCGGUGAAUACGUUCCCGGGCCUUGUACACACCGCCCGUCAAGCCAUGGGAGCCGGGGGUACCUGAAGUGCGUAACCGCAAGGAGCGCCCUAGGGUAAAACUGGUGACUGGGGCU
This 1439-nucleotide ribosomal RNA is filed under the name uncultured organism. RNAcentral's name for it is "SSU rRNA". It matches the Rfam family "Bacterial small subunit ribosomal RNA". The record is from RNAcentral.